UCGGUUACCAUGACAACGUCAGCCCGACAAAACUGCGCCGGGCCACGCAGAAGUUCCAGCAGAAGGCUCCGUACCAAGCAAAGCAGAAGAAAUCCAAGUCGGCCGAAUUUCUGAUGGGGGAAGAGGAGAGAGCAGCCGCCGAAGGCACCGACAAGCCCGCUCCGAGUGGUGCCUGCGCCCGGGAAGGAGGAGCGAUGCGACGUGACGUGCCGAGCGGCACCCUUGCAGCUGGCGGGGCGGAGGCGGAGCGGCGACUCUCGGCCGCGGCGAGAGGUGAAACCUCAGCGCUCGUUACGCUCAAGUGCGGCGACGGCGCUCGCGUGCCCCGUCUCGCCCCUUCCCGCAUCCCCGGCCCGCGCGCCCUGGCCGGUCUCUCGGGCAGAGCAAUGCGGCGCGCGCCUUCCGUACCCCCCCAGCCCCAUCCCCGUGACAUAAUGCUUCUUACAUUUUGUUGUUGCGUAGCAGAUGCUUAUGACACACGGUGCUCGACCGGCGUCGCAGCCGCGCGGGACAGGCCCCUCUCUCCGCAUCACGACAGCGCGAUGUCCUCUCCGGCGGGGCGUCACCCGGCAACCGUCACGUCGGCGGCGACUCCCCCUCGCUGCCCGACAGGUGACGUCGCACGGCGUGCGCGCUACGCCGGGUGCGGCGCGCGGAACCUGAGCCGUCGACGGGCGCGAGAACGAGCGGCUCGAGAGCUUCGCUCCGUCCCGGAUGGGCGAGGUUUCCGGCGCGGAGACGACGGAGCGAAGGACGGGACGAGGCGGGAGACGGGAAAACGAUCUGUUUGAAAUGCCUAGUGGUUACAGCUCCUGUCUCUGGAUCGGAAGGUUGUAGGUUUGGUCCCCACCUCUGGAUGUAGUACCUUUGAGCAAUGUACUUACCCUACAUUGCUCCAGUGAAAUUACCUUCCUGUAUAAAUGGGUAAAUAAUUGUGGCUUUGGAGAAAAGUGUCAGCUAAACAAAUCAACGUAAAUGAUGUUGUCACUUACCUUCGGCGAAUGAGAGAAGGACGGUGGUGCUGCGGUCGCACGGGGCCCCCGCUCUGGCAACCUUCGUCUUCAGCACGAGGGCUCCUCGGUUGUAUGGGAGAAGCUGCAAAACGCUGCACUGCGUUCGUUGUUAGGCGUGGUCUUCUUUUCCCGAGGACCGAAUAUGUACACUGGACCGUUUAGUAAACACGGUAAAGUCACUAAUAUAGAACCGCCGAAGAACAGUUGAGGCCGAAAUGACAUCGUUGUUCUUUCUUUUUUGUUGAGCUGAAAUAUUUCAAAUUUUAUAGUUUUUAAUACACACACAUUUUCAGAACCGCUUGUCCCAUACGGGGUCACGGAGCCUAACCCGGUAACACAGGGCGUAAGGCCGGAGGGGGAGGGGACACACCCAGUACGGGAUGCCAGUCCGUCGCAAGGCACCCCAAGCGGGACUCGAACCCCAGACCCACCGGAGAGCAGGACUGUGGUCCAACCCACUGCACCACCGCACCCCCUCAGUUUUCAAUAGUUAUUGAAAUAUUUUACUGUUCAGAAUUUCACCUGAUAUUAUCACCGAGUGUCUGUUUCAAUAUUACUGGUGAAAUCAUGAGGAAGAGGAGAUGUUAUAGCACAGCACUUGUGGAAGAGUCAGAUUCUUGGAGCAGAUGGAGCACGUGACUCAGUGUGGGCAUCUUUAUGAAAUGUGUGUGUGUGUGCGUGUGUGAGGAAGACUUAUUUCAUUCUUGCAAAAUGAGAAUGCAGUUGAAGUCUUCCUCACACACAGUUUAUAAAACGACUACUACGUCACUACAUCAAACUAGCAUAAGCUUGUGAAUUAUAAAAAUAAUAUUUCUCAACGAAACUGGAAUCCAAAAAAAAAAAAAAAAAACACUUGACAAUUUCAUUGUUCUGGUGGCUUAAUGUACAAAUGAAAAGUUGCACCAACACAGAAAUGAAAACCCCUUCAGCUCCACCAUUUCUUACCCCAGUAAAUGUUCUAAAAGGUGUAAAACUAUUCAUUUUGUGAAACAAACUUAGAAAUGUGUCCAUUUUUUAUUAUUCUUUUUAGGGUUCUAUAUAUAUAUAUAUAUAAGAAUGAAUAGUAAUAUACAUAAUGAAUGAAUGUGUAUAUAUAUAUAUAUAUAUAUAUAUAUAUAUAGAUAGAUCCCCACUCAAUCCCCACUGUCUAUGUGGAGUUUGAAUGUUCUCCCCAUGUCUGCAUGGGUUUCCUCUGGGUGCUCUGGUUUCCUCCCACAGUCCAAAGACAUGCUGUUCAGGUUCACCCAUAGUGUGUGUGUUCCCCUGAUGUAUGGUUGAGUGACCCAGUGUAAGUAGAGUGUCUAGCAGUGUAAAUCACCGUAGUGAAUAAUGUGUGUGGGCUGAUAACACUACCCAGAGUUUAUUGGAAGUUGCUUUAGAGAAAAGUGUCCGAUAGAUAAAUAAAUAAAUGUAUAUAUUCA
This is a long non-coding RNA of Scleropages formosus (Asian bonytongue), 2434 nucleotides long. The record is from Ensembl. NCBI's taxonomy places the organism in Eukaryota, Metazoa, Chordata, Actinopteri, Osteoglossiformes, Osteoglossidae.